GGGCGCGUAGCUCAGCUGGUAGAGCAGCGGACUCUUAAUCCGCCGGUCGGAGGUUCGAUCCCUCCCGCGCUCACCA
Molecule: transfer RNA, 76 nt
Filed under: Deltaproteobacteria bacterium
Lineage: Bacteria; Pseudomonadati; Myxococcota; Myxococcia
Description: tRNA-Lys
Rfam family: tRNA
About the family: Transfer RNA (tRNA) molecules are approximately 80 nucleotides in length.
Source: RNAcentral